This 13589-nucleotide long non-coding RNA is filed under the name Brassica napus (rape). Its description in RNAcentral is "long non-coding RNA (BNAP_LNC010480)". Lineage: Eukaryota; Viridiplantae; Streptophyta; Magnoliopsida; Brassicales; Brassicaceae. The record is from RNAcentral.
CUUAGACCACAACUACUUUUCAAAUUACAGUAUAUGGGCUUUACUAUAGCAGGCCUAAUGAAGAGUAGAUCCAAUAUUGAAAUUAAACGACAAACGACACGUAGUUUCAAUCAAAAACAUUAAACAUCACGUUGUUCAGUCAGUGUUUCCCAAGAAUGGAUCUCUCUCACAAGUCACAGAGAGUUGAACAAAUGAGAGAUCAGAUCUUUGUAUGCACAGCUCACAAAAGGUUUCAACAUACGGUUAAAAUACAAAUUUCAGCCGACCUGUUCUUUCGAAAUCAGCACAAUCCUACAAUAUAAUCCUCUUACAUAUACAUCAUAUACAGAAGUGAAACAUACUAUACUAAGACAAGAUGUAGAUAUAUUUUCACUUCCACAAACAUCAUUGAAUCUGUAAGAAACUAGUGGACUCCUGCAACAAUACAACCAUAAGCUUCACUGAGAGAACAAGUAACAUCAUGUAGAUUACAAAAGGUAGCCUGUAGGUUUGCUCUAUCCAGAUCAUGCAAAUUAUCAUAACUAAAAGAAUCAAGCAGCUAAAUAAUACUUACGAUUCAUCUUCACGCCAUGACUGCAAUCCUAUAUUACAACAACUAUGAUGACAAUGUAACUUGACAAACACUUGCAAGAUAUGGCUUCAAAGUUUUAACAUCAUUUAUUUCAUAAAAAGGGAAUAUAUACAACAUGAACACUAUCGCAUUUUCACGAUAAGUUCUGGUUACCAUAAAACAAAGCGGUUCAAGGAUCUUUGCCUCUUACACCGUAGCUAUUAACAUGACAAACAGAUAACUAUAUCUACCCGGCAAGGAAAAGACUGGAUUCACUCCUUUGUGAUCUCCUCUGCCUUUCGUAGUCAAGAUCAUCAGUAGGAAGCUCAAACCGGCAAACCGGACAAGUAUUCCUUAUCCCCAGCCAAGGCGUUAUACACUCUCCAUGAUACAAAUGCCUACAAGGAAGCCUCUUCACUUCCUCCUCUAUUAUCAUCUCAUCUUUACAGACCGCACAAACCACCUCCCCUUCUUCCAACGUAAGUUCCACAACAGGAAGAUCCUCAAUAACCCUUUUGGCAGCUGGAGGAUUCCCCCUGAUCCCAGCUUCGUUAUCAAACAUGUGCCCAAGAAUAGCAUCAUCAUCACCACCAUCACUCAAACUAGCUAGAUACAUGUAAUAGCUCGGAUCGAUAUCACCAGGGUUGAUCGUGAUACCUUCAGCUUGUUCAAUGUAAUUAACAACGUUGUUGAUAGUUAUCAAAACUUGCCAGUCAAGCUCAUGAUCUUCUUCUUCAUGAUCAUCUCUCGAUUGCGAAGACAACUCUUCUUCUUCUUCAUCAUCUUCGGAACUACUAAAAGCUCUAACCGUCCAGUUAAUAGCGUUCCGCACCUCCUCCCAUUCUUCAUUUUCAUCACCCAAGUCGUAAUCCCAAACCGGAGGUAGACCCGUAACAACCUCGACCCGACCCGACUCAUUUUCCACAUUCUCACUCUCCCCGGAGGUGAAAUUAAACACGUCAUCUUCGUAAUCGGAAUCCGAAUCCAGACCGGUCACUCGAAGCCCGGGUUGCUGAUCCGACCCGGAUCCUGACUCGCAUCUACUCCCCAAGACUAUCUCCCUCUCCUCUUCUUCUCCCUUAGGUUCAUAAAAGCCCCAUACAUUGAAAUCAUCGCCGGUGAGUCCUCCGGAUCCUAAGUACACCCCCUCGGAAGACUCUCGAUCGAAGAAAUCGAUGGGGCAGGUGUACGGAUCGAGCUCCGAAUCCGAUCCGGAAUCUGAAAUCGGGCGGCCUGCGAAAGGGAAAUAGGGAUCGCAAUCGACGUCCCUGUCGUGGAACGGAGGAGAGUCGCAGACGAAUACGCUCGUAGUCUCGUAAUCCUGUGUAGAAAUCGAACCUUCUACGGCUGCACCACCGUCCUCCGCCUCCUCUUCGAGGUUGAUGGUUACGGGACCGGGCUUCGUCGUCGACGCCAUUGCUGAGUUUCAGAGAAAUGUUAAGAAAAUAAAAAAAAAUGGAAAAUGAAUAUUCAAGAGGGAAAAAUCGUAUGAUCUGAUCUGCUGACGUGUAACUGAAAAAACUGAUGACGUGUAAAAAUAAUGCGCCUUUGCCGGGGAUCGAACCCGGGUCACCCGCGUGACAGGCGGGAAUACUCACCACUAUACUACAACGACUUGUUGAUUUCCAUUUGUCAACCGUAGAUAUUAGUUAGUUAAAAUUCGCUUUCAAUCGGUUUAUAACCGAGUUAACCGAACCGAAAUUAGUUGUUGUAAUCGUUACGAUCCCGCGUUAUAUACCAAUGAGAUUGAGUUCGUAAUGACUCAGAGUCAUGCCGGAGAAUCUCAGAUUCUUGCGUAUGACCAGAGCAGUUGUUUCCCUCCAAUUGUCUCUAACAAAGAAAACAAUUUCAUACCGAAGAGUUCCUGUUUUUUCUUAUUUCACAGAUUUCGUGAAACAAGUGAACUCAAUCAGCACGACGAACUUUUCGUUAGUUUACAAAGAAUGUGCCAAGCAAGGAGCGUUAGAGCUUGGCAAGCAAGCUCAUGCUCAUAUGAUACUAUCUGGGUUUCGUCCCACCACCUUCGUGCUGAACUGUUUGCUGCAAGUCUACACAAAUUCUAAAGAUUUACUCUCUGCUUCCAAGUUGUUCGAUAAAAUGCCUCUGAGAGACGUUGUCUCGUGGAACACGAUGAUAAACUGUUACGCGAAGAGUAAAGACAUGGUAAAGGCCAGUUCUUUCUUCAAUACGAUGCCUGAGAGAGACGUUGUGUCGUGGAACUCGAUGCUCUCUGGGUAUUUGCAAAACGGCGAGAGUUUUAAAUCCGUUGAGAUUUUCGUUGAGAUGGGAAGGGGAGGUGUUGGGUUCGACUGUAGAACGUUUGCUGUUAUCUUGAAAGCGUGUUCGUGUUUAGAGGAUAGCAGUUUAGGAAUGCAGAUUCAUGGGGUUGUUGUUAGAGUGGGUUGUGAUGCUGAUGUGGUUGCUGCAAGUGCGUUGUUGGAUAUGUACGCGAAGUGUAAGAGGUUCGACGAGUCGGUUAGAGUGUUUCGAGGGAUUCCGGUGAAGAACUCUGUCUCUUGGAGCGCUGUAAUCGCGGGCUGUGUUCAGAAUAACUUGCUGUCCUUAGCUUUGAUGUUUUUCAAGGAGAUGCAGAAGGUAGGUGGUGGAGUGAGCCAGUCGAUUUACGCUAGCGUAUUGAGGUCGUGCGCUGCGUUGUCUGAGUUGAGGUUAGGUGGUCAGUUACAUGCUCACGCGUUAAAGUCUGAUUUUGCGGGAGAUGGGAUAGUGAGGACGGCGACGUUGGAUAUGUAUGCGAAGUGUGAUAAUAUGCAAGAUGCUCAAGUUUUGUUUGACAAGUCAGAGAAUCUUAACCGACAGUCUUAUAACGCAAUGAUUACUGGUUACUCGCAGGAAGAGCAUGGUUUCAAAGCUCUGCUGGUGUUUCACCGGCUCAUGUUAUCUGGUCUUGGUUUCGACGAAAUAAGUUUAUCAGGAGUCUUCAGGGCUUGCGCCUUGGUGAAAGGUCUUUCGGAGGGGCUUCAGCUCUACGGUUUGGCGGUGAAAAGCAGCUUGUCACUAGAUGUUUGCGUUGCAAACGCUGCUAUCGACAUGUACGGGAAAUGCCAAGCUCUGAGUGAAGCCUUUCGUGUAUUCGAUGAGAUGAGGAGAAGAGACGCUGUGUCUUGGAACGCGAUUAUAGCAGCACAUGAGCAGAACGGGAGAGGAUACGAAACGCUUUCUCUUUUCGUCUCCAUGCUACGCUCUGGAAUCGAGCCUGAUGAGUUUACUUUCGGAAGCGUUCUGAAAGCUUGCGCUGGUGGUAACGGUAUGGAGAUCCAUUCCAACGUUGUUAAGUUAGGAAUGGCUUCGAACUCCUCUGUUGGAUGCUCUUUGAUCGAUAUGUAUUCGAAGUGUGGGAUGAUAGAAGAGGCGGAGAAGAUACAUAGUCGUUUGUUUCUUGGGGACAAUGUUCCGGGAGAGGUUGAAAAGAUGCACAACAAGAGACUGCAAGAACUGUGUGUUUCAUGGAACUCGAUCAUUUCCGGAUAUGUCACCAAGGAACAGAGCGAAGAUGCUCAGAUGCUUUUCACUCGGAUGAUGGAGAUGGGCGUAACUCCUGACAAGUUUACUUAUGCAACGGUUCUUGAUACCUGCGCGAACCUAGCUUCCUCCGGAUUAGGCAAACAGAUUCACGCUCAGGUUAUUAAGAAAGAGUUGCAAUCCGAUGUGUACGUCUGCAGCACGCUCGUUGACAUGUACUCGAAAUGUGGAGAUCUCCACGAUUCGAGAUUGAUGUUCGAGAAGGCGCAGAAAAGAGAUUUCGUGACGUGGAACGCCAUGAUCAGCGGGUAUGCACACCACGGGAAAGGAGAGGAAGCCAUAAAGCUAUUUGAGAGAAUGCUAUUCGAAAACAUCAAACCGAAUCAUAUAACUUUCAUAUCGAUACUCCGAGCUUGUGCUCACAUGGGUCUAGUCGAGAGAGGUCUUGAAUACUUCUACAUGAUGAAGACUGAAUACGGCUUGGAUCCUCAGCUGCCUCAUUACUCCAACAUGGUGGAUAUCUUGGGAAAAUCCGGGAAGGUGGAGAAAGCGUUGAAGCUUAUCCGAGAGAUGCCGUUCGAAGGAGACGAUGUUAUAUGGAGGACGCUGUUAGGAGUCUGCGCGAUACAUAGAAACAAUGUAGAGAUUGCGGAAGAAGCAACAGCUGCUCUGUUGAGACUUGACCCGCAAGACUCUUCUGCUUAUACUCUUUUGUCGAAUGUGUACGCAGAUGCGGGGAUGUGGGAGAAGGUUUCGGAUCUAAGGAGAAGUAUGAGAAGCUUUAAGCUUAAGAAGGAGCCUGGUUGCAGUUGGGUUGAGCUCAAAGAUGAGCUUCACGUGUUUUUCAUUGCAGAUAAGGCUCAUCCUAGAUGGGAAGAGAUCUACGAAGAGAUUGGUUUGAUCUACGGUGAGAUGAAAUCAUUUGAUGAUUCUUGUUUGGUGCCUGAGGUUGAAGUACAAGACCAAGACCAAGACCAAUGGUACUACUGCUAAAUGUGUUGUAUGAUUAGUGGUUUAUGAAUUUAGUCCAUUUGUAUGAUUUACCCAUAUCAUAAGUUUACUAUAAACAAUUUAAUUAGAGUAUUCAUUUGUGUAACUUUUUAGCAUACAAUGUACAGUUGUCUUGUUUGUUCUGAAUGAAUACUACAUUUAUUGACAGCCAUAAGCAGUUUAAUAAAGUACUUUGCUCUUAUCUGUUUUUAAUCCAAAAAUGUCACUACAAGGAUAAUAAUAGAUGAGAAAACUAAUAAAAUCACAACAGAGAUAAUCAAUGACAGUGGGUCAAAACUCCUGAGUAAUACCAAAACUGAUAAACAGAAAAGAACAAAACAGAGUUCUUCAUAAGAGUACAGCACAAAUCUUCUGAAGCCAAAAAUCUGAUCUCUUGUGUGUUAACAUGUUGUGAUUAUUCUUAUGAUGUGGAGGCAAUAUCCUCUGUUGUUUUCAGGCGCUUUGCAUCCAGCUCUUCUUGGAUAUUAUCUUCUUGCACUGCUUCUUCUUCUUCCUCUUUUAGUUCUUCAUGGUGUUGAGUAAGAUGGCCAUUGACUGCUUCAUGACCAAUAAGAGAGACAUGUUUGCUCGUGAUUUGGCGACCUGCCCUAAGCUUUGGACCCCAAUGCUUCUCUGGGUUUGGAAGAAACCGAGCUACUUUCUUCACCUGCGCCCUGCUCAGCGAACCAACGUGACGCGAAAAAUCAACCUGAACGGUAACAUAAAACAAAGAUUCAAGCUCUGAAAUCUAUUCAGUUUCUAACAAUGAAGAGAAAGACACCAAAAGAGACCUGGUGUGAUGGUUCUUUGGACAAGAUCACACUUCCGGGGAGUUCAGGGGCUUGUGCCUUUAUAGGAUGAUUCUUAGCCUACAAACAUCAACAACCAAGAAAUAAAACCAGUCAAAAAAACAAGAUUUGGUUAAAUAAAACAGUAUUCACAUUCUGAAUCAUCUGUUAGUUUUACCCAGCAACGCAUGAUGUCCCAGAUAACCUCCAUAGGGGCAUCAGUUUUCAUGCCGAGAGGAUUCACAUGGGUUCCGGAGAUACGGUAAUUAGCAUUGAUAACAGCUGAUCGAAACAUAGCAGCUGAUGGUGAAAUGCAUUUUAGCGUCGCACAAAGAUUAUGCAGACUCAAAAACAGAGGAACAUCUACCAACUCCUGAAAACCAAAAAUAGAAUCCACUCUUUUUUCACGGUUUAUUCUGAUAAUUUAUACACAAAAAUGUUACUGCAACUUGCCUCAGAGAUUGUGGUAAGUACAGCGUAGAUCCGUUCAUAAGCAGGAUAUCUGUCUUUCAUGGAUUUAACGCUGUUCAAAAUAGAAGUCACCCAUUCUUGAUCAUGGAUUGGAGCAGACCAUAUCGGUCCGCCCAUGUUAUAUUUCUUCCCACAGUGGUUGCAUUCUUGUGCCACAACUGGACCAAUUGCUGGAAGAUACCUCACACUGUUGUUCUGCCAAACAAUGAUUCAAAUAUUUUAUUAGAAAAUGGUUUCAAGAUAAAAAAAAAAAAAUUAUGUCAGAACAACAAGAAUCAUUGGCUAUAAUAAUCCAAGUUUCUCUAUCAUCUUAGGAGGUGCAUUGCAUAGAGAAUGUUCAAACAGGUGCAUAUAUACCUUUGGAAGAGAUCUUCCAACAGGUUGAAGAUGGAAUGAAUCACAGCCAAUGCAUUGAUAGACGUAAGAAAGCUUCAAUGGAGUGUUCUUCAUUGCACUCGCCGAGCUGUGACAAUUUGAUUAAGCGCUUUGAGGUUUCAGUGAAUCAAAAGACAAAACAGAACAUUUUACAAUGUUUGAUUAGACAAGGAGAAGCUCACGUGUAAACGCGUACAAAGACACGAACAUAGAAAUCCAUUUGCACAGAUAGCACCGGAACAAUAUACCGCUUGUAGCGGUUUGCGUGGCUCUACAUUUAAGGGAAAAAGAACAUAAGAAAAAUGAUUUAUUUCGUAAAAGAGGAAAUGGCUUAAAGAUAAACAAACCUCGAUGCUGGCAAGGAGGAUCCUCAAAGCCAUCUCAUGACAAUACUUCCCUCUCAAUGGGUAAGAACCAUAUCUGAUACAUCAAAAAGAUUAAAGAUCAGUUUAGGCAAAUGGCACACUUGGUAUAUGUUUCACAUAAAGACUCACUUGGAAUAACAAACUUCGCCGUUACCGCCACACAACACUGCCAUAUCAGUUGCUGUGCACAUCAGCAAUCCACCAUCCGCUACUGAUUGAAUAGCCGAGUCAAGGAAGAUAGAAGGUGAUCCAUAUGGAUCAAGAUCAACCUAAGAAGAUUAUUAACCAGGAUUAGUUUUUAGUAUAACAAACUAACAACCAAUAUGCAAAUGAACACAAGUAUAAAACUCAUGGAAUUACCACAUCAAAUUCGUUAGGGUGGGUAAGCAUAUGGACACGAGCAUCGGUGUGAUGUGACUCCACCUUUGAAAUAGCAAGCGAGCCAUUGAACUUUAUGUUUCUCUGGCAAGCUUCCACCGAUGCUUUUCAAAAGAAAGAAGGACACAGUGUUAGUAACUUAGCAUACUGAUAAGAUUUCUACAAGUCCCUCUAAGCUAAUUCAUUAAGAGGAGAUUACCAAUGUCAUUGUCCAACGCUACAACCUGACCAAUCCCUUCUAUUUCACGCGCAUAUCUUAAAGCUCGCAAACCAGAAGCAGACAAAGCCUGAGAAUGCAUUAAAAGUUAUAUAACUGCAAGAUCUCAACAAGCAAUGAAACCAGACAAUGAAUGAUAAGAAUAUAGGAAAGACCUCGAGCACUUUCGGAGGCUUGAGUUCUCUAAGUGCAACUCCUUCUGGUUUUUUAGAAGCAGAGCUACUUGGUGGGUCUUCAGAUGCUACUUGGUGCUCACCGUUCUCACUAGGAGUUCCUUCCUUGGAAGCUUCAGAAGAGUCCUUGUCGACCACAUUGGGAACUGAUCUAUUUCUUUUGGAAGACUUGGCAUCAUGCUCUUGCUUGCGUUUGGAUAUAAAUUCUCUUAGGACAGCUAUAGACAUGUCUCUGUUGUUCACCUAACCAAGUAAAGUUGUAACAAUCAAAUACCAUUCAAAGUUGUGAUCUUUUUGGUUUCUCAUUGACUCAUAUAGACUAAAGCAAAGUAUUGCUCCACAAGGAGCUAAUUGAUGUGAAUCAAUAAUGUUCAAUAAAGGUACGAACUUUGAAAACAAAAUCAAAUAAGCUAAUACAAUGGAAGAGAAACAAUAAGCAGAACCUGAGCUUUAUUGAAGAAGACUUGAUUCUUCUUGUGAAGGAGGAUCUCAGCUUCUCCUUCCUUGAUAACGGUGUAGUCAUUCAGAUCCGAUUCCAUUGCUCUCUCUCUUAUUAUCAACAGGAGACUCUUCAAGUUAUCCCCUUCUAUACUCUGCUGUUUUAGGGAGAAAUUUGGAGGAGGUUAGCUUUAAAACCCUACUACUCUGCAUUAACAAGUGGGAAGUUUUUGUUUCCUUUGGAAAAAAAAAAAGGAAAAGAAAAAAAAGACAGUUGAUUUGUACUUUGUAGUAAUUAGAAAAUUGAAUUUGGACAUAAAUUAACAUAAUUGCAUUCUUGUGCCACAACUGGACCAAUUGCUGGAAGAUACCUCACACUGUUGUUCUGCCAAACAAUGAUUCAAAUAUUUUAUUAGAAAAUGGUUUCAAGAUAAAAAAAAAAAAAUUAUGUCAGAACAACAAGAAUCAUUGGCUAUAAUAAUCCAAGUUUCUCUAUCAUCUUAGGAGGUGCAUUGCAUAGAGAAUGUUCAAACAGGUGCAUAUAUACCUUUGGAAGAGAUCUUCCAACAGGUUGAAGAUGGAAUGAAUCACAGCCAAUGCAUUGAUAGACGUAAGAAAGCUUCAAUGGAGUGUUCUUCAUUGCACUCGCCGAGCUGUGACAAUUUGAUUAAGCGCUUUGAGGUUUCAGUGAAUCAAAAGACAAAACAGAACAUUUUACAAUGUUUGAUUAGACAAGGAGAAGCUCACGUGUAAACGCGUACAAAGACACGAACAUAGAAAUCCAUUUGCACAGAUAGCACCGGAACAAUAUACCGCUUGUAGCGGUUUGCGUGGCUCUACAUUUAAGGGAAAAAGAACAUAAGAAAAAUGAUUUAUUUCGUAAAAGAGGAAAUGGCUUAAAGAUAAACAAACCUCGAUGCUGGCAAGGAGGAUCCUCAAAGCCAUCUCAUGACAAUACUUCCCUCUCAAUGGGUAAGAACCAUAUCUGAUACAUCAAAAAGAUUAAAGAUCAGUUUAGGCAAAUGGCACACUUGGUAUAUGUUUCACAUAAAGACUCACUUGGAAUAACAAACUUCGCCGUUACCGCCACACAACACUGCCAUAUCAGUUGCUGUGCACAUCAGCAAUCCACCAUCCGCUACUGAUUGAAUAGCCGAGUCAAGGAAGAUAGAAGGUGAUCCAUAUGGAUCAAGAUCAACCUAAGAAGAUUAUUAACCAGGAUUAGUUUUUAGUAUAACAAACUAACAACCAAUAUGCAAAUGAACACAAGUAUAAAACUCAUGGAAUUACCACAUCAAAUUCGUUAGGGUGGGUAAGCAUAUGGACACGAGCAUCGGUGUGAUGUGACUCCACCUUUGAAAUAGCAAGCGAGCCAUUGAACUUUAUGUUUCUCUGGCAAGCUUCCACCGAUGCUUUUCAAAAGAAAGAAGGACACAGUGUUAGUAACUUAGCAUACUGAUAAGAUUUCUACAAGUCCCUCUAAGCUAAUUCAUUAAGAGGAGAUUACCAAUGUCAUUGUCCAACGCUACAACCUGACCAAUCCCUUCUAUUUCACGCGCAUAUCUUAAAGCUCGCAAACCAGAAGCAGACAAAGCCUGAGAAUGCAUUAAAAGUUAUAUAACUGCAAGAUCUCAACAAGCAAUGAAACCAGACAAUGAAUGAUAAGAAUAUAGGAAAGACCUCGAGCACUUUCGGAGGCUUGAGUUCUCUAAGUGCAACUCCUUCUGGUUUUUUAGAAGCAGAGCUACUUGGUGGGUCUUCAGAUGCUACUUGGUGCUCACCGUUCUCACUAGGAGUUCCUUCCUUGGAAGCUUCAGAAGAGUCCUUGUCGACCACAUUGGGAACUGAUCUAUUUCUUUUGGAAGACUUGGCAUCAUGCUCUUGCUUGCGUUUGGAUAUAAAUUCUCUUAGGACAGCUAUAGACAUGUCUCUGUUGUUCACCUAACCAAGUAAAGUUGUAACAAUCAAAUACCAUUCAAAGUUGUGAUCUUUUUGGUUUCUCAUUGACUCAUAUAGACUAAAGCAAAGUAUUGCUCCACAAGGAGCUAAUUGAUGUGAAUCAAUAAUGUUCAAUAAAGGUACGAACUUUGAAAACAAAAUCAAAUAAGCUAAUACAAUGGAAGAGAAACAAUAAGCAGAACCUGAGCUUUAUUGAAGAAGACUUGAUUCUUCUUGUGAAGGAGGAUCUCAGCUUCUCCUUCCUUGAUAACGGUGUAGUCAUUCAGAUCCGAUUCCAUUGCUCUCUCUCUUAUUAUCAACAGGAGACUCUUCAAGUUAUCCCCUUCUAUACUCUGCUGUUUUAGGGAGAAAUUUGGAGGAGGUUAGCUUUAAAACCCUACUACUCUGCAUUAACAAGUGGGAAGUUUUUGUUUCCUUUGGAAAAAAAAAAAGGAAAAGAAAAAAAAGACAGUUGAUUUGUACUUUGUAGUAAUUAGAAAAUUGAAUUUGGACAUAAAUUAACAUAAUAAAACAUAACGGAUACGGAUGUAAGAAAAGCAAACGUUAGGGACGGGACUAGGGUAAAAAAGAUCACAGCAAAAAACACUUGGCCCAUGCAGGUUUCGAACCUGCGACCUUCGCGUUAUUAGCACGACGCUUUCUAACCAACUGAGCUAAUGGGCCAUUUGAUAUGCAGUAAGACCUGAGGAUGAUUUGACCAGUCAGAAUAGAGACAAACAUGAGAUGGACCCUCCUGUGAAUCCCAUUAAUCAACUACGUUUUUCUUACUAGGGGUUGUGAAACUUGUGUUGUUGUUUGCAAAAGAGGCUAACGAGUGCUCAAUUUGAUGGAACAGCUGAGUUUCUCAGGUAACAAAGAAUGUACAUACGCAUGUUGAAAAUGUUGUUGAAUUUUUUUUACCAAAACAUGUGUUUGGCUUUUAUGCCUUUGAACAAUGCUACGUCCAAUGGAAACAUGUGUCCUCUAGCUAGGUAAGGGAUUUUUAAGUACCGAACCACAUUUGCACAUGAUGAUAAAGAGCCCUUUGAUCCAUGUUUUCUAAUUACUAUAUUAGCAACGUUGAUACGUGUCCAUGAGACUAGGGCAAAUUAAAGAAGGAUUUAAGACUCCAAAUGAGACUACACUUGGUUGACUCUGCCAAGGUUUGGAUAGUCUUGACUCUUCUUCUUCUUCCUCGUACCAUUUCAACAAACCAAGAACGGUAAAAAAAAAACUCUGAAAAUCUCCAAGGAUGAAAAUGUAAUUAAAGUAUAGGGACAAGUCACUGCUACACUUAGUGUGGUUCCUCUGGCUCAGCCAGCACGCCUCCCACAAAAAGUCAAAACUUCCCUACGUAUCAAUUAUAUGUCGACACGUGUCCAUCAGACCACAUCACCCAUCUUGUUCCGUAACCUCACUGUUUAGAUUUUGUUUUCUUUAUUUUCUGACGUCUUUUAGCUGUUUUCUGUAAAAUAUAUGCACGGACUUCCUACGUCACCUGAGACUUCCCUCUUAGAUUCUUUGUCCAAAGGAAGAUAAAGAUUUCAAAAAUCAUUUCAUUUGUUUAGUAAGUAAAUGCAUACUUUACAAAUUACAAUGGUGGUACGAAAAAGUUGGUGGUGAAAACUGAUACCUUGCACAUAAUAACUGCAUAAACAUAUGUAAUAAAAAAAAUAUUUAAAUAGAGACAACGAUGAUUUUGUAAUUCUUUCAGUCAACAAUAUUAGAAUGAAACUAUUUAUAUUUUUGUACCUCUAAAUCAGAGAUUACCCAUGAACAAAAAAAAUAUCUUAUACCAUUCUUGUACUCAUCUAAAAGACUUUAACUCCCGAAACUCUGGCAAGCAAUGGCCAAAUAUAGAACAUUGGAGAACAUAGUUAAAUCUACUUUUCAAAAGGUUCUUAGUUCUUUAUAAGAACUAAUCAACAAACUCAAUUAAGUGUACAUUUUAUAUGUAUGCAUGUGAUAUAUAUAUAUAUAUAUAUAUAUGUGAUACAUUUUUUUCUCACUUGUUAUUUUCAGUUUAGACAAUAGCAUGACUUUAAGAAAACAUGUGACUUAAACUAAAACAAACAACAAAGUGAUCACCAAAUAUCUAUCAAUAUAUCAAACAUACACGUACGUUUAUAUGUAUUAUAUGUAAGAGUUUUCCCAAACAAUUAGUCCCUGUUAUUACUUUUGACUCAUUUUUUUGAGCAACAUACACGUACUUUUGACUCAUAAGAAACGAUUUAGGAUUAUUACUUUUGACUCAUUUUUUUGAGCAACAUACACGUACUUUUGACUCAUAAGAAACGAUUUAUUAUUUUUAGAAAUCGGCAAAUAAGAGGGAUUUCUCAAAAAAAUAUAAGUAUAUGCAUAAAGGAAAGCGAAAAUAUAACAAAAGUUGGUCUGAAACUUGAACCUUGUCAAGUAGAUAGGAGCCAAUAGACAUGCGACACAUACAUGUCAUGUCCAUAUUAAGGUAUGAGAGGUUUUCCUGCAACUUGUGAAGUAGAAAAUGAUGAUAGCUACUUUCGUAUUAUUGUAGAAGCCAAUGCUAUUCCCACUCUCACGCGCCUUACCACUUGGACAAUUUUAAUACUUUCAUUUCAUUGGCAAAUCAAUAUACAUAACUACAUAAACAGACGUGUGUUAUGCUAUAUCCAUAUCAAAGUUUUAAAAAUUGCUAAGAACUUAGGUAAUGUAUUUAAAACUUAAAGUGUGGAAAUCUAUGAACUUGGGUAAUGUUUGUAAGAGUUAAAGAGUGAAAAUACAGUAAGUAAUUAUUUCUAUAUAGGCAUGGAUUAUAAUCAGAGAACAUAAACAUCAUUUUUCUUAAUUAGUAGCAAUUGCGUCUCUGUGACACACGCACAAAACAAGAGAGAGUGAAAAUGUUUUUUUACCUUUUUGUAAAAGAGGGAGGACAGAGAAAGAGUAAAGAGGUAGAGAGAGAGAGAGAGUUGGAACACACCAGAUACAUCACCAAACCCUAGUUAUCUCUCAUCCGCACAAGUAUCUUAUCUUUAUAGCUUUUAAAGAUUGACAAAAGCUUUCUUCAGAUUCACAAUCUCAUCACACACACACAACCCUUCAAAAAAAGAAAGAAAGAACAGACAAAAGAUCUAAAGAAUAAACAAGAACCCUACUACAAUCAAAUCAAAACCAAACCAAGAAGCAAAAGUUUCCUCUUUAUAUUCUCUUCUCCUCUUCUUGUUCUUUUUGUCAGUGAAUCUUAUAUGACUUUUUGGACUCUGUUUGCUUUUCUUCAGAUAUGUGAUAUGGUGACUAUUGCAAGAUACAUGAAAAAACUAGGGUUUUGUUUUAUUGUCCAAAAGAAAAGAUCUUUCAUCAGAAAAAGCAACACCAAACUCAUGUUUGUGUGUGUGUCUGAAUAUAGAUAAACAAAUUACAUCACAUAAUAAGGUUACAUAUAAAAGAAGAAGG